GUUUACUAUAUUCCGAGCA
This 19-nucleotide small nuclear RNA is filed under the name Arabidopsis thaliana (thale cress). RNAcentral describes it as "snRNA_06862". The record is from RNAcentral. Lineage: Eukaryota; Viridiplantae; Streptophyta; Magnoliopsida; Brassicales; Brassicaceae.